Molecule: ribosomal RNA, 429 nt
Filed under: Chloroflexota bacterium
Lineage: Bacteria; Bacillati; Chloroflexota
Description: Chloroflexi bacterium partial 16S ribosomal RNA
Rfam family: Bacterial small subunit ribosomal RNA
Source: RNAcentral
UGGGGAAUAUUGCACAAUGGGCGCAAGCCUGAUGCAGCCAUGCCGCGUGUAUGAAGAAGGCCUUCGGGUUGUAAAGUACUUUCAGUCGGGAGGAAGGUGUCAAGGUUAAUAACCUUGGCAAUUGACGUUACCGACAGAAGAAACACCGGCUAACUCCGUGCCAGCAGCCGCGGUAAUACGGAGGGUGCAAGCGUUAAUCGGAAUUACUGGGCGUAAAGCGCACGCAGGCGGUUGAUUGAGUCAGAUGUGAAAUCCCCGGGCUUAACCCGGGAAUUGCAUCUGAUACUGGUCAGCUAGAGUCUUGUAGAGGGGGGUAGAAUUCCAUGUGUAGCGAUGAAAUGCGUAGAGAUGUGGAGGAAUACCGGUGGCGAAGGCGGCCCCCUGGACAAAGACUGACGCUCAGGUGCGAAAGCGUGGGGAGCAAACAGG